UCUGUCACCCAGGCUGGAGUGCAGUUCUGUCUCUAAAAAAUAAACAUUUAAAAUAAAAAAUGAGUAAAAAUAAAAAGUCAAUGUGCUAUCUGGACUAUACUGUCAGGAGGUGAAAGAGUCACCUUCUCUUCCUUGACGCUACUGGCGCACACACAGCAGCUAUCAGCACCUGGGAUCAAGCACACCAGAG
Homo sapiens (human) is the source of this 190-nucleotide long non-coding RNA. Lineage: Eukaryota; Metazoa; Chordata; Mammalia; Primates; Hominidae. The record is from Ensembl.